GAAUCCUGAAUUCGAACGGGGUUGGAUUCAAGGCCUACCAGUCGUAAGCAGUUUGUGCCCAACGAGUUGAUCCCAGGCGCCCGCAGUGAGGACUUUGGCCGGCGGUGUCGUAACUGGUGAUCACUUGGACAGGUGCUCAUCUGGCGAUGGGGGUGUGCACUUCCUCCCUAGUAGAAUGGUCGCGACCCGUUGGGUGCCGGUCUAAGGCCCGGGAUGGCAGACCAUGUGUCCUGUGUGGGAUCCAUAGGCAUGUGGACUCCUGGUGACCCGGCUGGUGCCCGACGGAAUGAUCAGUGGGGUCGAUCCGCUAAGUGAAAAACACGUGGUGUGUGAAGCGUCCGGCACAGUGCCAAUGCGGGCAGGGUUAAGGUGAAACCGGGGUACCGUUGCGAUGCAUGGCCCGGCCCUGUUCGUUGUUGGUUGCUGUUGUCCUCGGACGGGAUCAGUACCCCUGUCUGCGGCAUCUAUUUCGGAUGGUCUCCCG
This 484-nucleotide ribosomal RNA is filed under the name Stheneboea cf. tuberculata SB0465. RNAcentral describes it as "partial large subunit ribosomal RNA". The record is from RNAcentral. Lineage: Eukaryota; Metazoa; Arthropoda; Insecta; Phasmatodea; Lonchodidae.